This is a non-coding RNA of Cajanus cajan (pigeon pea), 1006 nucleotides long. NCBI's taxonomy places the organism in Eukaryota, Viridiplantae, Streptophyta, Magnoliopsida, Fabales, Fabaceae. The record is from RefSeq and is a predicted model, not a curated record.
AUGGCGGGGAUUUCUUACGUAUCACUAACAGUUGGAUGCAGAACAUCUCUCCACUACAUGGCUUCGUCUUCACAGACGAAAAAGGAAUAAAUUCUUAAACCCCUUUCCUUCUAUGCUGUCGCGUGGUGACUCGGGAAGCAAGUCGUGGUGUGUGGGAGAGCAAGUGGGGGAGGAAGUAAUAUGAAGCAUUACUCACAAAGUUGUGAUUCUUGGGGACUCAUUUCCGGGAUAAGUGCAAUUCAAACCAUGCCACAAGUAGGCUACAGGGGCACAUGGAUCACCUUGCCAAUCUCUUGUCACCCCAUAAACUGACUUGAUGGUGGUAAUUGCAUCAACUAUUUAUUCAAAGCAAAAAAAAAGGUAAAAAGGUGGCUAAGAUCAUAUACAAUUGUGUAAACCAAUGAAAUGGUAUGACAAAUCAUAUUUUGGUGGAUUACCAUCUCCUUGGAGAGUAUCUGCUUGCUGGAAGUCUUUUACUCUAUAAAUUUCAAUGGCACUGAUGAUAGGAGGCAGGGUUGAGCUUUUGGUCCUCUCGAAGGAAUAUUUAAUUUCUUUUCCACUGAUAGCUGACUGGCUGUAUAUAGUGAAUGCACUAAGGUACGGUGGAGAAAAAUUUCGAUACCAUGGCUUUCCGUUCUCUGUGAUUGUGAAUUUUCUUGUCUGAUUCUUUGCUAACUCUUCAAACUCGGUGAAGUGCAUGUAAACAUAGAAUUGAUCAGUUUCAGCUAGUGGCUCCCAGCUUAUUACCAAUGGAGCACUACCAUUUGCUGGUGUAACUGCGGUGCUCAAGACCACAGCUGGCGGUUGGUAAUCGUUCUGGAUUAUAGACAUAGCUGGAAUCAAAGUAUUUAGUUGUGUCCAAUCUUGCUUGAAGUCACAGGAGCUGUUUGAACCUAAAUCGCACCGCCAGUAACGUUGCAGUGAUCCAAAUUCAGUGACGUAUGUAUCAUUUUGCAAAGUCCUCAAUUCUAUGGCUGAUAUAAAUGGUGUCCCAUCGCCUGUGUCA